RNAcentral lists this non-coding RNA (48 nucleotides) under Schistosoma mansoni. The record is from RNAcentral. Lineage: Eukaryota; Metazoa; Platyhelminthes; Trematoda; Strigeidida; Schistosomatidae.
AUCCAGCUGACGAUUCCCAGAUAGGACGAAACGCGCGUCAAACUGGAU